Molecule: transfer RNA, 72 nt
Filed under: Capra hircus (goat)
Lineage: Eukaryota; Metazoa; Chordata; Mammalia; Artiodactyla; Bovidae
Also listed under: 1 other name
Rfam family: tRNA
About the family: Transfer RNA (tRNA) molecules are approximately 80 nucleotides in length. Their secondary structure includes four short double-helical elements and three loops (D, anti-codon, and T loops). Further hydrogen bonds mediate the characteristic L-shaped molecular structure. tRNAs have two regions of fundamental functional importance: the anti-codon, which is responsible for specific mRNA codon recognition, and the 3' end, to which the tRNAs corresponding amino acid is attached (by aminoacyl-tRNA synthetases). tRNAs cope with the degeneracy of the genetic code in two manners: having more than one tRNA (with a specific anti-codon) for a particular amino acid; and 'wobble' base-pairing, i.e. permitting non-standard base-pairing at the 3rd anti-codon position.
Source: Rfam by way of RNAcentral
UCCCUGGUGGCUCAGAUGGUAAAGUGUCUGCCUGCAAUGCAGGAGACCCAGGUUCAGUACCUGGGUCGGGAA